RNAcentral lists this ribosomal RNA (440 nucleotides) under uncultured bacterium. RNAcentral describes it as "partial 16S ribosomal RNA". It matches the Rfam family "Bacterial small subunit ribosomal RNA", at positions 338 to 795 of the family's 1533-position model. The record is from RNAcentral.
CCUACGGGUGGCAGCAGUGGGGGAUAUUGCACAAUGGGGGAAACCCUGAUGCAGCGACGCCGCGUGUGGGAAGACGGUCCUCUGGAUUGUAAACCACUGUCCCCAGGGACGAAGAUGACGGUACCUGGGGAGGAAGCUCCGGCUAACUACGUGCCAGCAGCCGCGGUACGACGUAGGGAGCGAGCGUUGUACGGAAUUACUGGGUGUAAAGGGAGCGGAGGCGGGGAUGCAAGUUGGGUGUCAAAACUACCGGCUCAACUGGGAGUCUCACUCAAAACUGCAGCUCUUGAGUGAAGUAGAGGCAGGCGGAAUUCCUAGGGUAGCGGUGAAAUGCGUAGAUAUUAGGAGGAACACCAGUGGCGAAGGCGGCCUGCUGGGCUUUUACUGACGCUGAGGCUCGAAAGUGUGGGGAGCAAACAGGAUUAGAUACCCUAGUAGUC